UACGUAGGGCGCAAGCGUUGUCCGGAAUCAUUGGGCGUAAAGAGCUCGUAGGCGGUUUGUCGCGUCUGCUGUGAAAACUGGAGGCUCAACCUCCAGCCUGCAGUGGGUACGGGCAGACUAGAGUGCGGUAGGGGAGACUGGAAUUCCUGGUGUAGCGGUGAAAUGCUUAGAUAUCGUCAAAGAACACCUAUAGCGAAGGCAGCUUACUAGGCUGUAAACUGA
This 222-nucleotide ribosomal RNA is filed under the name uncultured bacterium. RNAcentral's name for it is "partial 16S ribosomal RNA". It matches the Rfam family "Bacterial small subunit ribosomal RNA", at positions 524 to 743 of the family's 1533-position model. The record is from RNAcentral.